RNAcentral lists this ribosomal RNA (823 nucleotides) under Neorhamphoria garethjonesii. RNAcentral describes it as "eukaryotic LSU rRNA". It matches the Rfam family "Eukaryotic large subunit ribosomal RNA", at positions 77 to 919 of the family's 3401-position model. Lineage: Eukaryota; Fungi; Ascomycota; Dothideomycetes; Tubeufiales; Tubeufiales incertae sedis. The record is from RNAcentral.
GCCUCAGUAACGGCGAGUGAAGCGGCAACAGCUCAAAUUUGAAAUCUGGCUCCUUCGGGGUCCGAGUUGUAAUUUGUAGAGGGUGCUUCGGCUUACGGCGCGGUCUAAGUUCCUUGGAACAGGACGUCACAGAGGGUGAGAAUCCCGUACGUGGCCGCGCCCUCCGCCAUGUGAAGCCCCUUCGACGAGUCGAGUUGUUUGGGAAUGCAGCUCUAAAUGGGAGGUAAAUUUCUUCUAAAGCUAAAUAUCAGCCAGAGACCGAUAGCGCACAAGUAGAGUGAUCGAAAGAUGAAAAGCACUUUGGAAAGAGAGUUAAAAAGUACGUGAAAUUGUUGAAAGGGAAGCGCUUGCGACCAGACUUGACCGCGGAUGCUCAGCCGGCCCUCCGGCCGGUGUACUCUUCCGCGGUCAGGCCAGCAUCAGUUUGGGCGGCCGGAUAAAGGCCCCGGGAAUGUGGCUCCCCUCGGGGAGUGUUAUAGCCCGGGGUGCAAUGCGGCCCGCCCGGACUGAGGACCGCGCUUCGGCUAGGAUGCUGGCGUAAUGGUCGUAAGCGGCCCGUCUUGAAACACGGACCAAGGAGUCUAACAUCUAUGCGAGUGUUUGGGUGUCAAACCCGUGCGCGUAAUGAAAGUGAACGGAGGUGGGAACCCCUCGGGGUGCACCAUCGACCGAUCCUGAUGUCUUCGGAUGGAUUUGAGUAAGAGCAUAGCUGUUGGGACCCGAAAGAUGGUGAACUAUGCGCGGAUAGGGUGAAGCCAGAGGAAACUCUGGUGGAGGCUCGCAGCGGUUCUGACGUGCAAAUCGAUCGUCAAAUCUACGCAUA